UGAUCAUGGCUCAGAUUGAACGCUGGCGGCAGGCCUAACACAUGCAAGUCGAGCGGUAGCGGGAAGACUUGCUCUUUGCCGACGAGCGGCGGACGGGUGCGUAACACGUAGGAAUCUGCCCGGUAGUGGGGGAUAGCCCGGAGAAAUCCGGAUUAAUACCGCAUACGCCCUAAGGGGGAAAGCAGGGGAUCUUCGGACCUUGCGCUAUCGGAUGAGCCUGCGUCGGAUUAGCUUGUUGGUGGGGUAAAGGCCUACCAAGGCGACGAUCCGUAGCUGGUCUGAGAGGAUGAUCAGCCACACUGGGACUGAGACACGGCCCAGACUCCUACGGGAGGCAGCAGGA
RNAcentral lists this ribosomal RNA (343 nucleotides) under uncultured Endozoicomonas sp. RNAcentral describes it as "bacterial SSU rRNA". It matches the Rfam family "Bacterial small subunit ribosomal RNA", at positions 14 to 356 of the family's 1533-position model. Lineage: Bacteria; Pseudomonadati; Pseudomonadota; Gammaproteobacteria; Oceanospirillales; Endozoicomonadaceae. The record is from RNAcentral.